Molecule: long non-coding RNA, 883 nt
Organism: Centruroides sculpturatus (bark scorpion)
Lineage: Eukaryota; Metazoa; Arthropoda; Arachnida; Scorpiones; Buthidae
Exons: 2
Source: RefSeq, a predicted model, not a curated record
ACAUACGUGACAAUUGAAAUUUUCGUAUUGCCCAUUAAAGUACAGAAUAAGUGUUAUUAACUACACAAAAUUAUUUAGAGGCCUCCAUUCUGCAUAUAAAUGAACAAGUGUUUAAUAAAUUGUUUUCGUGGGAUUCAAUGAAAACAAUUUAAUUUAAAAAUCACACAAUAUUCUAUAAAUUUCACGGAAUAUAAAAUAUACACACACUAAACGAAUGUUAUUGGAAAAUUUUCACUAUUAUUCGAUGUUUUUUUAAAAAAUAUAAUAAGAUUUACAACAUUUUCAUUUAAGAAACUGUCCGAUUGUUUACCAAAGAAAGGCCUAAUUCUUAAGUUUGGAAUAAACGUCAGCAACUAUUCAGAGCAACAAUAAUCAAAUUAAUUGUCAUAAAACAUUGUUGACAACGAGAAAGGAAAGGAGAAAGAAACUAACGAGAUAAAAAAAUCGAAAAUGGUUUACAGCCUGAGAAAAGAAAGUUUUACUUCUAUUGAAUCUUGGGGAAAUUCAAGUGAGGAUAUUUCGAGCGAAACAGACGCAUCCUCAGAUGAAUUCUCAGACGAAUCCUUCGUUGACACUUAUGAUUCUGAUAUGGAAGUUGAUCUCGCCAUUACCGUGGAUGUUGAAGAACACGAACCUGAAAAUCUUAAUCAACUAGAAAGGAAUGGCGAAACAAACAACACCGAAACAUCAAUAAUAGAAUGCGACAACACAGAACAGAGAAGUUCAUACCAACGAUUAGUUUCAUCUCUCCAAAUAAUUUAUUCUUUCUUAAGAAAAAGAGUUCGCAGUUCAGAUGAUUUACAGCCCGAAAAACCAGCGAAAAUUCCCAAGAUUGACAUUUAAUUUUAAAAAAAUUCAUCUUUUUGAUUUUCUAAAAUAUCAU